This 674-nucleotide ribosomal RNA is filed under the name uncultured Galerina. RNAcentral describes it as "eukaryotic LSU rRNA". The stretch from base 262 to 415 matches the Rfam family "5.8S ribosomal RNA". Lineage: Eukaryota; Fungi; Basidiomycota; Agaricomycetes; Agaricales; Cortinariaceae. The record is from RNAcentral.
UCCGUAGGUGAACCUGCGGAAGGAUCAUUAUCGAAUAAACCUGAUGUGGUCGUAGCUGGCCCUUUCGAGGGUAUGUGCACACCCGUCAUCUUUAUCUUUCCACCUGUGCACCUUUUGUAGACCUGGAUGUAACACUUUCCGAGGCAACUCGGUCGGGAGGAAUGCUGUCAGCUUUCCUUGAAUGUCCAGGCCUAUGUUUUCACAUACCCCAAAGAAUGUAACAGAAUGUAUUAUUGGGCCUUGUGCCCAUAAACUAUAUACAACUUUCAGCAACGGAUCUCUUGGCUCUCGCAUCGAUGAAGAACGCAGCGAAAUGCGGUAAGUAAUGUGAAUUGCAGAAUUCAGUGAAUCAUCGAAUCUUUGAACGCACCUUGCGCUCCUUGGUAUUCCGAGGAGCAUGCCUGUUUGAGUGUCAUUAAAUUCUCAACCUUAUCAGCUUUUGUUGGUAAUGGCUUGGAUGUGGGGGUCUUUUGCUGGCUUCGUGAAGAGGUCUGCUCCCCUUAAAUGCAUUAGCCGGUGCCCCGCGUGGAUCCGUCUAUUGGUGUGAUAAUUAUCUACGCCGUGGACGUCUGCUUUAAAUGGGAUGCACUGCUUCUAACCGUCCGUUCAGUUGGACAAUCAAUGACAAUUUGACCUCAAAUCAGGUAGGACUACCCGCUGAACUUAAGCAUACA